This 1241-nucleotide ribosomal RNA is filed under the name denitrifying bacterium enrichment culture clone NOA_1_E9. RNAcentral describes it as "bacterial SSU rRNA". It matches the Rfam family "Bacterial small subunit ribosomal RNA", at positions 268 to 1503 of the family's 1533-position model. The record is from RNAcentral.
UCGGGCAGAAUGGGUAUAGGUUGAAUUCUGAAGAGGAAUGAUCAAGCCAACCCUGAAGUUGAGACCCGUUCAGACUCUACCGGAGGGCAGCAGUGAGGAUAUUGCGCCAAUUGAAGGAACUUGAACGCAGCGACGCCGCGUGAAGGAUGAAGGCCCUUCUGGAUGUAAACUUCUGUAGAGAGGGAAGAAUUUCCCGGUUCCGCGGAUUGACCGGUACCUCUAAAGUAAGGGUCGGCUAACUACGUGCCAGCAGCCGCGGUAAUACGUAGGACCCGAGCGUUGUCCGGAAUCACUGGGUGUAAAGGGAGCGCAGGCGGACUUUCAAGUCGAUGGUGAAAUCUUACGGCUCAACCGUAAAACUGCCGUCGAUACUGCUUGUCUUGAGUGUGGAAGAGGGGUGGCAGAAUUCAUGGUGUAGCGGUGAAAUGCGUAGAUAUCAUGAAAGAUUACCAGUCGCGAAGGCGGCCACCUGGUCCAUUACUGACGCUCAUGCUCGAAAGCGUGGGGAGCAAACAGGAUUAGAUACCCUGGUAGUCCACGCCCUAAACGAUGAAUACUCGGUGUUGGGUCGCAAGACUCAGCGCCUAAGCAAACGCAUUAAGUAUUCCACCUGGGAAGUACGAUCGCAAGGUUGAAACUCAAAGGAAUUGACGGGGGCCCGCACAAGCAGUGGAGCAUGUGGUUUAAUUCGAUGCAACGCGAAGAACCUUACCUGGGCUUGAAAGGCAAGAUUUUAGUCCUUGAAAGAGGAUUACCCGCAAGGGGUCUUGUACAGGUGCUGCAUGGCUGUCGUCAGCUCGUGCCGUGAGGUGUUAGGUUAAGUCCUGCAACGAGCGCAACCCCUACACUUAGUUGCCAUCAGGUAAUGCUGGGCACUCUAAGUGGACUGCCUACGCAAGUAGCGAGGAAGGUGGGGAUGACGUCAAGUCCUCAUGGCCCUUACGCCCAGGGCCACACACGUGCUACAAUGGCCACUACAGAGGGUUGCUAAAGCGCAAGCUGGAGCUAGUCCCAAAAAAGUGGUCUCAGUUCAGAUUGUGGGCUGCAACUCGCCCACAUGAAGCUGGAAUUGCUAGUAAUCGCGGGUCAGCACGCCGCGGUGAAUACGUUCCCGGGCCUUGUACACACCGCCCGUCAAGCCAUGGAAGCUGAGGGUACCCGAAAUCGUCGCGCUAACCGCAAGGAGGCAGACGCCUAAGGUAAAAUCAGUGACUGGGGCUAAGUCGUAACAAGGUAGCCGU